CAGGAAGUGGAGGAAUGCAUAUUUAUUUAGCACCUAUUACUUGCUGGACACUACAGACAGAGAGAUUUUUAACUACAGGGCCCGGGUUACAUGGGCCAUCUGGAAAUGCAAUCUUAUGAGAAAUGGAACCAGGCAUGUUUUGACCAGAGGAGAGCAGACCUAUUAAGAGGAGAUGUGUGUUCAGGUAUUCAAUAAGUGGUCACGUGGAGGAAGAAAUAAGGCUGAUUUCUGCUGUGCGAGGAUAAAAGAAGCACAUGGAGUGUGGAGUAGAGAGAGGCAGAGGCAGACUGGUGCUGAAGAAGAAGGAGCUUGCUAAGGAGUGGGGAUGUCCUGUGUGAGGAAAUACGCUUUCUUCCUGAGCGCCUGCACAGCCCUACGAGUGUCCAAGAGGAAACGGAGUUUCUGUCCAGGAUCUCUGAAGUCUUUACCAAAGAUAGAAGCAUGAUUCUAAGAAGAACCUUUUUUGGGAGAAGAAGGCUGAUAUUCUACCUCAAUGAGGCCAGAAUAAAAGAAAACAGAUCUAUUGCACCCCAAUUUCCCUUUGGAGAAUUACUUCCUCCAUGUUGUAUGCAGCCUCAGGAUGUCCUGCCCACCAGCCACAGAGGCUACUGGCUCCUUUCAACAGAAGCUCUCACCACCCAGCUACAGCCAAGCGUGUGACCCAAGCUCCAUCAGACUCCCUCUCCUUAGAUUUGACCCUUAGACCAGUGACUACAAGGGCAAAAGAAAUGGUCAGGGUUCAUUCAAUGCCACGUUUGUUCCUGCCACCUCGUCUAUUCCCAGCCUUGUGCCUUCAUCCUCCCUUCAAUCAUACAAAAGCACUAAUAUCUUUCCAGUAUGUUCCAUUAUGCUUUAGUCAGCUCAUUAGUUUCUGUUGCCUACAACCAAGUAACCCUAAGUGGAUAAAGUUUCAUGAAGAUUUGUUUUUGUUUGUUUUUCGUGGAGUUCCGCUGCUAAAAUGUGAGAGUUUGGACCAGAUGAUUUGAGUUGCUGCUCCUGGUCCUGUGUGUUUAAGCUUAAAAAACCUUAGAAGAAAAUGCUUAUUGCAGGUCUGGUGAUUGACUCAAUGCAAACGUUACCACCAACAGGAACCACGAAGAAACGUAGGUCAGUAAUAUACUCGUGUAAAAGAUGUCUCAAUAUUUUUCCCACCAAUCUUCCUGUGCUGGCCUGUGAAAUUUAACUCUUUCUAACAUCCAAACAGUCGAAAGCUGUAGGCCUGCACGUUCUGAAACUGUGUGAUCGAGGGCUCCCUCAUGAGCCUCACCCUAUACUUCUCUCUUGAUGGAGGAGAAAGAACACCAUCCUAUACACUUGCCAAAUUUGAAUGAGGUGCUUUUUAGGUUU
RNAcentral lists this long non-coding RNA (1347 nucleotides) under Equus caballus (horse). RNAcentral's name for it is "lncRNA (ENSECAG00000059980.1)". Lineage: Eukaryota; Metazoa; Chordata; Mammalia; Perissodactyla; Equidae. The record is from RNAcentral.